CCAUAAUCAAAAAUUCAAAAAACAGUAGAUGUUGGCAUGGAUGUAGUGAACAGGAAACACUUCUACACCAAUGGUGGGAGCAAAGUAUAUAUUCAGAAUAUUUCAGUAUCUGAGUUUUGAUUAAAGGAAUAGAGAAAUAGCAUACACUAUUGAAAUAAUUUGUAUGGCAAUAAUAAGGAAUAUGAUAUAAUCUAUCAUUGUGUAUCUUUUGGUACAAAAUACCCAACUAGUAACCUUAUUUCUCCUUUGAGACAUCUACUCAAAGUAGAGUAGCCUUCAAUAGCUAACAAAAUGCUACUGUUGUCAACUCAAAGAUCUCUUUUAUUCUUAGCACCCGAACUUUACCCUUCAACCUGGGACAGGAACCAGUGUUACUGAUACAUAAAAGUUUAGGAUAGUUAAAGCAAGGAGAUUAAACUGAAUGUGGAUAUGUUAAUCUUGGUAUUUUAAAUAAGAAUAAAGGGCUUUUAAGAAAGAUAUAGCUGGAAAACUUGAC
This 496-nucleotide long non-coding RNA is filed under the name Pan troglodytes (chimpanzee). RNAcentral's name for it is "long non-coding RNA NONPTRT014656". The record is from RNAcentral. Lineage: Eukaryota; Metazoa; Chordata; Mammalia; Primates; Hominidae.